Molecule: RNA transcript, 6605 nt
Organism: Eleginops maclovinus (Patagonian blennie)
Lineage: Eukaryota; Metazoa; Chordata; Actinopteri; Perciformes; Eleginopidae
Gene: atp8a1
Gene name: ATPase phospholipid transporting 8A1
Exons: 38
Source: RefSeq, a predicted model, not a curated record
GCGGCACCGUCCCCCUCACGUCAGUUUAUGGUAAAUCCGUGUCCACUCCUGCUUUACCGAAGGCGUCUAUCGCCUCUAUAAUCCGCCGUGUGAACCGGGAUGCUGGGGGAUCCAUGAAGCCGUAGGAUCCGGGGCAUGCUUCUGUCACCACCAGAAAAUGAAUGUUGUUUAUGCCUCGCCUGUAUCUCUCUUUAGCGGGUAACACGCAGCAGUACUGUCUGCAUGAGAGAGGUUCCUUAAAAUUUUAGCCGUUUUUUUAUUUUUAUUCUUUAACGGUUAGAAGGAGCCAGACACAGGGAACAAGCCGCGGCCGCUUGACAGGUGCUGUCGCCCGGCUCUGCGUGGAGAGAGAUGCCGCCCGUCCAGAGAACCAUGUCGGACCUUCGCAGCCGAGCAGAGGGAUAUGAAAAGACAGAGGACACCGCAGAAAAGACGUCCUUAGCUGACCAGGAAGAUGCCCGGAUGAUAUACCUCAACCAGCCGCAGUUUGCCAAGUUUUGCAACAAUCGAGUCAGCACAGCCAAAUAUAACGUCCUCACCUUCCUCCCCCGAUUCCUCUACUCGCAGUUCAGACGAGCAGCAAAUGCCUUCUUUCUCUUCAUUGCACUGUUGCAGCAAAUCCCAGAUGUGUCUCCCACCGGUCGCUGGACCACACUGGUGCCGCUGCUCUUCAUCCUGGUGGUGGCUGCUGUGAAGGAGUUCAUUGAGGAUCUGAAACGUCACAAUGCUGACAGCAUUGUCAACAAAAAGGAAUGUCAAGUUCUGAGGAACGGUGCCUGGGAGAUCGUGCACUGGGAGAAGGUGGCAGUUGGGGAAGUAGUCAGAGCUUCAAACGGGGAUCACCUCCCGGCUGACCUCGUCAUACUGUCGUCCAGUGAACCACAGGGAAUGUGCUACAUUGAAACCUCUAACUUGGAUGGAGAAACAAACCUUAAAAUCAGACAGGGUCUCCAAGUGACCUCAGACAUACGGGACAUCGACAGCCUGAUGCGUCUCUCUGGGAAGAUGGAGUGUGAGAGCCCAAACCGCCAUCUGUACGAGUUUGUGGGGAACCUCCGCCUGGACGGACACAGUACAAUUCCACUGGGUCCAGAUCAGAUCUUACUGAGAGGAGCCCAGCUGAGGAACACUCAGUGGGUCCAUGGUGUGGUGGUCUACACAGGACAUGACACCAAGCUCAUGCAGAAUUCCACUCGGCCUCCUCUGAAGCUGUCCAACGUGGAGCGUAUCACCAACUUUCAGAUCCUGGUGCUGUUCGGCUGCCUGCUGGCCAUCUCUCUGGUCUGCUCCAUCGGCCAAACCAUCUGGAAGUACCAGUACGGCAACGAUGCCUGGUACAUGGAUCUCAACUAUGGCGGCGCGGCUAACUUUGGCCUUAACUUCCUCACCUUUAUCAUCCUGUUCAACAACCUGAUUCCCAUCAGUCUCCUGGUCACACUGGAGGUUAUCAAGUUCAUCCAAGCCUUUUUCAUCAACUGGGACACCGACAUGCUUUAUGAGCCCACCAACACACCUGCCAUGGCUCGCACCUCUAACCUGAAUGAAGAACUAGGCCAGGUGAAAUACAUUUUCUCUGACAAGACGGGGACCCUGACCUGCAACGUGAUGCAGUUUAAGAAAUGCACCGUCGCCGGUGUGGCCUAUGGCCACGUCCCUGAGGCUGAGGAUGGUAGUUUUGCAGAGGACGACUGCCACAGCACCAACUCAUCGGAAGAGGAGGGAUUUAAUGACCCGAGCUUACUGGAAAACCUCCAAAGUAAUCAUCCUACAGCUGCUGUCAUCCUGGAGUUCAUGACCAUGAUGGCCAUCUGUCACACUGCGGUCCCCGAGCGCAUCGAUGGAAAAAUCACCUACCAGGCUGCAUCUCCAGAUGAAGGAGCACUGGUGAGAGCAGCAAAAAACCUUGGCUUUGUGUUUUCCGGUCGAACACCAGACAGCGUGAUUGUGGAAAUGCCCGGGACAGAGGAGAAGUACGAACUCCUUCAUGUGCUGGAGUUUACAAGCACGAGGAAGAGGAUGUCAGUCAUCAUGCGCACUCCAUCUGGGAAGAUCCGCCUCUACUGCAAAGGAGCUGACACAGUGAUCUAUGACCGCCUGGCAGACAGCUCUAGGUACAAAGAGAUCACACUGAAGCACCUGGAACAGUUUGCUACGGAGGGACUGCGCACUCUGUGCUUUGCGGUGGCCGACGUCAGUGAGUCGUCCUAUCAGCAGUGGCUGGAGAUCUUCCACAGAGCCGGCACCUCCCUGCAGAACAGAGCCCUGAAGCUGGAGGAGAGCUACGAACUGAUAGAGAAGAACCUGCAGCUGCUCGGGGCCACCGCCAUCGAAGACAAGCUCCAGGAUAAAGUGCCAGAAACCAUCGAGACACUGAUGAAGGCGGACAUCAAGAUCUGGAUCCUGACAGGGGACAAACAGGAAACAGCUAUUAACAUUGGACAUUCCUGCAAACUACUGACCAAGAACAUGGGCAUGCUUGUGGUCAAUGAAGACACUCUUGAUAGAACGAGGGAAACGCUAAGCCACCACUGUGGAGUCCUGGGAGAUGCCCUCUACAAGGAGAACGACUUUGCUCUCAUUAUUGACGGGAAGACUCUGAAAUACGCGCUCACAUUCGGAGUGCGACAGUACUUCCUGGACCUCGCGCUGUCCUGUAAAGCUGUCAUUUGCUGCAGAGUCUCUCCUCUUCAGAAGUCAGAGGUGGUGGAGAUGGUGAAGAAACAGGUGAAGGUGAUCACGCUGGCUAUCGGUGACGGUGCUAACGACGUGGGAAUGAUUCAGACGGCUCAUGUCGGCGUAGGAAUCUCAGGCAACGAGGGUCUGCAAGCCGCAAACUCCUCCGACUACUCUAUUGCCCAGUUCAAAUACUUGAAGAAUCUGCUGCUCGUCCACGGAGCCUGGAAUUACAACCGUGUAGCCAAGUGCAUCCUGUACUGCUUCUACAAGAAUAUUGUCCUCUACAUCAUUGAGAUCUGGUUUGCGUUUGUCAAUGGCUUCUCAGGCCAGAUCCUAUUCGAACGCUGGUGCAUCGGCUUAUACAAUGUGAUCUUCACUGCUUUGCCUCCUCUCACUCUGGGAAUAUUUGAGCGUUCCUGCAGGAAAGAAAACAUGCUGAAAUACCCAGAACUCUACAAAACCUCCCAGAAUGCAAUGGGCUUUAAUACCAAGGUCUUCUGGGCCCAUUGUCUGAACGGCCUCUUCCACUCCGUCAUCCUCUUCUGGAUCCCCCUUAAAGCCUUCCAGCAUGAUACAGUGUUUGGCAACGGAAGAACUCCAGACUAUCUCCUCUUAGGCAACAUGGUUUACACAUUUGUGGUCAUCACAGUUUGUCUUAAAGCCGGCCUCGAGACCUCGUCCUGGACCAUGUUCAGUCACAUCGCCAUCUGGGGAAGCAUCGGCCUGUGGGUGGUGUUUUUCAUUAUCUACUCCUCCCUGUGGCCCCUCAUCCCUCUGGCUCCCGACAUGUCAGGAGAGGCGGAGAUGAUGUUCAGUUCGGGGGUCUUCUGGACGGGCCUGGUCUUCAUCCCAAUCACCUCGCUGGUCUUUGACGUGGCCUACAAAGUAGUAAAGAAGGUGUGUUUCAAGACCCUGGUGGACGAGGUGCAGGAGCUUGAAGCGUUGUCCAAAGACCCUGGAGCUGUGGUGCAUGGAAAGAGUUUGACGGAGAGAGCCCAGCUCCUGAAGAACGUCUUCAAGAAGAGCACCGUCAGUUUGUACCGGUCCGACUCCAUGCAGCAGAAUCUGCUCCGUCGGGCUGAGACCGUUGUUGUGUGAUACCCUUUUUAAUUUUCAUUAAUCAAACCUCCUCCCGUUUAGAGCCUCCUCUAGCUACCUGAUAGUCGCCUCUCUCACUCUUUUUUCCUGGUUGUUCACUUCCUGUCCUUCCUUUCGUGUGCCUGAGUUGAGUUCAGUAGAGUGACAUUUUGAUGAAGUUAUCAUAUGUUGCGCUGUUAUUCCCCCACAAUGCACUCGUCUCAGCGGGGUCCUUUGAACAUCCCCGCUGGCCUCCAGGUAGUGACCGAGUCAUUUGACACCUGAAGAUGGCUACGCCUUCUCUCAAGAUGAGAACGGAGUGGUGUCUCAGUCUGAGGUCAUCAGAGCGUACGACACCACCAAAGAGAGGACCAACGAGUGGUGAGCAGCCGUCCUUCUGGUCGGCCUCUCCAGAGCCACAGCAGCCGUUUCUAAUGGUGAUAUUUACCGGGGGAAGACGAGGUGCGAGAGAGUGCCUCCAGCAUUGAGGGAAUUUUAGGAAUAUGAAACGGACAGAACGUCUUUGAAAAAGGGAAAAAAAAAAAGGAACAAAACAAAUUGUGUUCACUAUCAGCUGUAGUUGUGUGUCCAGCAGACACGAUGAGCUCUGUGCUUUCUUAGCAGCCUGUGGUCUGAAGUUCUUCACUGUUCUCGCUCAGUUUGUUGGAAUGAACGUCUCCUCUCUAUUCAAAAUCAUCUAAAAUCAUUUAAUUAACUUUAACUCCUAAACACUGGAAGAUGAUUGGUUUCAGAGGAUGAAAACUUGUGAAAGAUUGCCAAAGAGCAGUCGUUAAUACACUCUUCCAAGUACUAGUGAAUUCGGACAACUUUAACCAAAUGUACUCACACUCCUGAGUGUAUUCCAGCACUAAACGGACCACUUCAGAGCAGACAUUGUAAUAUUUAACUUUUCUUUUUGCACUUAAGGAAGCAUCUAUUGUGUAAAGCCUUACAUUUGCUCAUGCCUUUAUCCUUGUUUCUAUAACAAAACAUUUGUUUCUUUUUUAGUUUCAUUUUUAAAAAGUAUGUAGAUAUCGUGCCUGGUUUUAUUUUAUUUUGUUCCUUCUUUUCAUUUCUUUGCUUAAGAAGUUGCCUCCUGCAACUCACUGUAGUCCUGUUUUCACCGUUUUAACAGCAGAAGCAUUGCUCUCGACAAAUAAUUGCAUUCCACACAUCACUCCUGUCUCAACAAUCACAACGGUGCCUACGUAGAACCUUUCCCUAAUAGAUAGCCAAGAAUAGUUUAGCCAGCUAGCUUAGACCAGUGCUCCACACACUCCUACUGAAGACACAAUCACUGUCUCCCCACCACAGUAUUGCACUUGUACAAUGUGAAAACUACUGUGCCUUGUGGCACGUGUGUAAACUUUUAAGAUUUGUUCCUGCGCAGGUGAACGAAUGGGAGGCUCUCUGAUGGUGUUGUUGGAGCUGGUGAUAGUGUUUCCCUUAAAAUGGAGAUUUUAUCCUUCUAACAUAAGUGCCAUUAGCUUAAGGGAGAGAGAAAUAUUAGCCAGGAACUCACAACAAUAUCAAAACUACUUUGUCUCUAUAGUUAUUUUGUGGAUUUGUAUUUUUAUAUUGGAGAUGUAUGAAUUUUGCAUCGACUGGCUUUGUAAUGAACUGUCUGUAACUUUUAGUUGUUUUUCAUCCUCUGAUAAACUGGCAGGAUAGAAAAGAUCGAAUGAGGAAACUGAGCUUUCUUAAAUGUCUUGUUAUUAUUAAUAUUGUUACAGCGCAAUUUAUUUAUAAUUGACUACUUAAUGUCCUGUGUGAUUGCUUUCUUCUCCCUAUGGGAGAUCAAAUCUGAUGGUUUGUGUGAGUGUGUCAGUGUAUUGUCUGCAUGUGCAUGUGCUGUGUGUGUGUGUGUGUGUGUGUGUGUGUGUGUGUGUGUGUGUGUGUGUGUGUGUGUGUGUGUGUGUGUGUGUGUGUGUGUGUGUGUGUGUGUGUGUGUGUGUGUGUGUGUGUGUGUGUGUGUGUGUGUGUGUGUGUGUGUGUGUGUGUGUCACCUCUACUGUGGAUAACCUCUAUGUAUGCAUUGCAUGUCUGUGUCCUUUAUGUGAGACUGGGAGUUUUUGGCGUCCACUGAUGUUUCUUUUGUCGUGUGUGUGAGAGAAUGAAUGUGUGUGUGUGGCUUGCUCCAGUUGUCCGUCUGCACGACUCCAGUAUAGCUAUGGUGUACUACUGUGUGCUGACGCAUGUCCCGUUUGGGGAAGUUUGUGUGUGUGUUUGUUAGUGUGCGGUAUGACUGUGUGUGCGGUCAAACUCUCGACCAGGACUGUGAGAGUUUCUGUUACUCAGCUCGCUUCGACAGGAGAUGUUGCACAAUGCACUCGAUGUACCUUUCCAGUAGUGGACAUCUGGUAUUAUCUGGUUUUCAGUAUAGGAUUUCUCUUGCGUGUAAAUGUUUGUAACUUGUUUUCUUCAUGCAGUGUACCUCUGCUUUGCAGGAAAACUCUUCAGUGAGAGUUAAUGAUAUUUUUUCUCUGCUGGUCUUUAGUGUUGAAUCUUAAUUGGUCGUCCAAAGUUUCCAAUACGCUGAAUGUGGACUGUUGCUUUCUUUUUCCAGAAAACAUAAAACACACGUUGUUGUCUGUGAAAGUCGUGGGCUGCAUGAAUGGAAAACACAAACUGUUCUCUGAAAUGUUUAACUGUACUACUUUAAUUCUCCCUCAAGUGUUGAUCACUUUACAAAAGAGAAAAAAACGCACCUUUAACUUUACUUUAAAAUAUUUGUUUCUUUUUUCCGUCAUUUCGUUCGAUGAUUGUUCUGCAUGUUGGGACUGCAAACUUAUAAGUGUUGUCUUUUACUGCCAUGAAGGACUACUGAAAUAAACUUUACAAUCAUGGAGGAA